RNAcentral lists this ribosomal RNA (497 nucleotides) under uncultured bacterium. RNAcentral describes it as "partial 16S ribosomal RNA". It matches the Rfam family "Bacterial small subunit ribosomal RNA", at positions 28 to 507 of the family's 1533-position model. The record is from RNAcentral.
GAUGAACGCUGGCGGCGUGCCUAAUACAUGCAAGUCGAGCGAACAGAUAAGGAGCUUGCUCCUUUGACGUUAGCGGCGGACGGGUGAGUAACACGUGGGUAACCUACCUAUAAGACUGGGAUAACUUCGGGAAACCGGAGCUAAUACCGGAUAACAUUUGGAGCCGCAUGGUUCUAAAGUGAAAGAUGGUUUUGCUAUCACUUAUAGAUGGACCCGGGCCGUAUUAGCUAGUUGGUAAGGUAACGGCUUACCAAGGCGACGAUACGUAGCCGACCUGAGAGGGUGAUCGGCCACACUGGAACUGAGACACGGUCCAGACUCCUACGGGAGGCAGCAGUAGGGAAUCUUCCGCAAUGGGCGAAAGCCUGACGGAGCAACGCCGCGUGAGUGAUGAAGGGUUUCGGCUCGUAAAACUCUGUUAUUAGGGAAGAACAAAUGUGUAAGUAACUGUGCACGUCUUGACGGUACCUAAUCAGAAAGCCACGGCUAACUACGUG